This is a long non-coding RNA of Cyprinus carpio carpio, 1026 nucleotides long. Lineage: Eukaryota; Metazoa; Chordata; Actinopteri; Cypriniformes; Cyprinidae. The record is from Ensembl.
GAGCUUGACAAACCCUGGUUACUACAAACUGCUGCUGUAUGACAAGACCUGCUUAUAAGAGUAGCUUUUGAGAACAAUAUGAGGGUUUUUGGAGGCUUUGAAAUCCAGACUCAGAAGUGGAGGUGGAUCCCAGCAGGAACAUGGCCCAUCUCUCUGCCCCAGAGGAGACGUACUGCCACAGGGUCCAGAGAUGAGCCUUUGCCUGUCCGCUCUGGGUCCCGGGGUCUCUUCCUGAUUGGACUGGACUUUACGGCUGCUGGGACUUUUGCUUAAAACUCUUAACAAACAGAGCUGCCUGGCUCAGGGCUGGCCCCCAGCUGGACGCUCUAGACUGGUCCUCGGGGACACAGAAGGACUCUGUUCGAAUCCGUAUCGAUCCGUGAUGCUGAUGAAAGAACCCACUGGUCACCUUGAGCCCUGUGUAUCCCGCGGCAACACUGCAGCCCACCCGUGUCACUUUAGUCAGACCAUGAGGCUCCGGGGCACGAGAGGAAAAAGCAGAUGCAUUGUCAGAAGAGGCACAAAAUGCAACAAAUCCCCCCUCACUGCUAACCGUGAUCUUCCUGACACUCUGAGACAGGCGGCCCAGCUGGGACUCUACCCAGGAUCGCGUCUCUUUCAUGGGCAAACGCUGUUUCACCUGCUCCCCCUCCCAUCACAAAUCCCACAAUCCUCCCCCCGUCUCCCCAGCCCCUCCAACCGUCCCAGCUGAGCUUUGCUAAUCAGUAUAGCGACGAGAGACAAGACUUGGUUAAUUCGGCCAAUUAGGCCCGAGCGUUGUUUGUGGCCAGCGACAUUUUGUAUUCGUGAAAAUGUGUGGAGUGCAAAACGUGCCCUGGAGCAACGAGAUGAUAGUGCCGUGGCUACAGCCACAUGUCAACAAAACACAUACAGGCUGAAGGGGCGAUCCUGCUUUAUGGAGUGUGUGUGUGUGUGUGUGUGUGUGUGUGUGAGAGAGAGAGACAGAGAGUACACUUGAAUACAUGCAUGUGCUUUCAGAGUGGAUUGUGAUUUUUACAAUAUAAA